Molecule: long non-coding RNA, 644 nt
Organism: Anguilla rostrata (American eel)
Lineage: Eukaryota; Metazoa; Chordata; Actinopteri; Anguilliformes; Anguillidae
Exons: 5
Source: RefSeq, a predicted model, not a curated record
GUGAAGGGCAGGCUGGACACGGCUGACAGAGAACAGGAAACGUGGACAGGACAGGGAUGAACAGAAAACAAGACCAGACAAACACGAAAACAGGAAAGACACAGAUUGGGGAACCUGAAUGCAAAGCGACGAGAAAAGUGGAAAAAGGCUGGGGGAAAAACCGAGUUUUAAAUCCCUUCAGUAAAUAGUUAAAAGGAAGAACUUGGAUUCAAGAGUCUCUUUGAGUCACGCAUCAACUAUAUGCUUGAAUUCAAUAGCUUAAGGGGGCAUUUUGAACAACUAGAAGGAGCCACACUUUCAGAGCUCUUGCACAGAAACCUUAUGAUCUAAAUCCCGUGACUUUAUGGUCAUGACAUCACAACAGAGGGGUUGGGUAAGAACCCACAUGUGGUUUAAACUGGUCUGAUGUGUUCCGGUCUGCUGAGGUAGGGGGCGCUGCUCAUAAAAUGAGUCUCUCAGGGAAGCCAGAGAAUGAAGGAGAAACCCACAGCACUGACAGAAAGAGGGUCCAGGUAGAAAGAUCAGGGUCACCUGUACCCAGCUAUGUGUCUGUGAAGAGUGAAAGUUCUAUGGAUUAUCCAUUCAACCUCAAAGGAGAGUCCACAGGUGAUCAAAGGGUCCAGGUAGAAAGAUCAGGGUCACCU